CCAGAGGGAUCGACAAUGAAGCAGCAAUCCAAGGACCCAUUCGAAGCGGCGUUCGAGGAGCAAGAAGACGACUCACCGCCCGAUUCUCCGGCCGUCGCUGAAGCCGCGCGCGCCGCCUUUGGUGCCCUAGAAGAGGACGACCCUCUUCUUGUUCCUGGCCCGUCAUCUUCGUCCGCGCCAUCAGCUGCAGCGCCGAAAGCAACAGCAGUUACCAGAACAAGAACAACGCCAACUUCUGCUGCGACGGCGCCCUCCGCCUCUGCUCGGCCCGCUGUCAAGAACAAGGAUGACGACGACGAUGACGACGAAGACAACAUGGAUGUCGAGCUCGGAAAGUUCUCCGCCACCGGUGAUCCUGACAAAAUGGCCAAGAUGCAGGCUAUUUUAUCGCAGUUCUCAGAGGAACAGAUGAGUAGGUACGAGUCGUUUCGCAGAGCUGGAUUUCAGAGGGCCAACAUGAAAAGGUUGUUAACUAGCAUUAGUGGAACUCCAAAAAUAUCUGCGCCAAUGAAUAUUGUAGUGUCAGGGAUAGCAAAGAUGUUUGUUGGUGAACUUGUUGAGACAGCCAGAAUAGUGAUGUCGGAGAGGAAAGAGUCUGGGCCAAUCAGGCCAUGCCACCUUAGAGAAGCAUACAGAAGGUUGAAGCUUGAAGGGAAGAUACCAAAGAGAUCACCGUCUAGGCUCUUCCGGUAGAAUGACCAAUUUCACGUUCUGGUGCUCAUUGGACAGCAUACUGAAGAUAGGAAGUCCUUUCUCAUGUUGCUUUUCGCAACCCCAAACAUGGUCGACAUAUCUGUAAGUUGGAGCUGGGAGACAAUACCAUACGAUUAAAGACCAGAUGUAUUGCACUUCAUCAUCACUUGUGGUAGUUUCUUCCUCUUCGAUCGCGUUUUUUGGGAGACAAUGAAGGUGCGAUUUAAAUCACAAUAACGAUGAUGUUGCCAGCUUCGUUUGUUGUUGCCGUUUUGACUUGUGACCCAUAACACUUAUGCUAGUAAUUUGCCGUCCGUGCUAUGUUGGUACAUAUUUUUUCUCGCAACCAAGCGACUGAUUGGAUGUAUUAUAAGAUAUUGGACCUGUGUAGUCAUUGUAAUUUGUGCCGUUCAGUUGCUGAUACAUUAAAAUAUUUUGCAUGUGGAUGAAUGAGUUUAUAAAGAUACUGAAUGUCACUGGGUCGGGUCGAAAAUAUAUGACUUGGAAUUCAUUGGUUA
This is an RNA transcript of Pyrus x bretschneideri (Chinese white pear), 1211 nucleotides long. It is a transcript of the gene named transcription initiation factor TFIID subunit 11, with no coding region annotated. Lineage: Eukaryota; Viridiplantae; Streptophyta; Magnoliopsida; Rosales; Rosaceae. The record is from RefSeq and is a predicted model, not a curated record. The transcript has 6 exons.